ACAAGGGUUUGGAUCUUGAGCAAAUAACAUCAGCUACAUUGACAAAGCUGGAAGAAGUUAAAGCAAGAACAGCUAAGCUCAGCAGUAAUGAUUGAGGU
RNAcentral lists this long non-coding RNA (98 nucleotides) under Castor canadensis (American beaver). RNAcentral's name for it is "lncRNA (ENSCCNG00000012401.1)". Lineage: Eukaryota; Metazoa; Chordata; Mammalia; Rodentia; Castoridae. The record is from RNAcentral.